AGCAGACCCAGAAGAGCUUUUUACC
Molecule: non-coding RNA, 25 nt
Filed under: Cricetulus griseus (Chinese hamster)
Lineage: Eukaryota; Metazoa; Chordata; Mammalia; Rodentia; Cricetidae
Source: RNAcentral